GACGAACGCUGGCGGCGUGCUUAACACAUGCAAGUCGAACGGAAAGGCCUCUUUCGGGGGGUACUCGAGUGGCGAACGGGUGAGUAACACGUGAGUAACCUGCCCUUGACUUUGGGAUAACUACAGGAAACUGGGGCUAAUACCGGAUAGGAGCUCCUGCUGCAUGGUGGGGGUUGGAAAGUUUCGGCGGUUGGGGAUGGAUUCGCGGCUUAUCAGCUUGUUGGUGGGGUAGUGGCUUACCAAGGCUUUGACGGGUAGCCGGCCUGAGAGGGUGACCGGCCACAUUGGGACUGAGAUACGGCCCAGACUCCUACGGGAGGCAGCAGUGGGGAAUAUUGCACAAUGGGUGGAAGCCUGAUGCAGCAACGCCGUGUGCGGGAUGACGGCCUUCGGGUUGUAAACCGCUUUCGCUCAUGACGAAGCUUUGUGUGACGGUAGUGGGUAAAGAAGCACCGGCUAACUACGUG
This 467-nucleotide ribosomal RNA is filed under the name uncultured bacterium. RNAcentral's name for it is "partial 16S ribosomal RNA". It matches the Rfam family "Bacterial small subunit ribosomal RNA", at positions 28 to 507 of the family's 1533-position model. The record is from RNAcentral.